AGGGUUCGAUUAUGGCUCAGGAUGAACGCUGGCGGCGUGCCUAACACAUGCAAGUCGAGCGAAGCACUUUGCUUAGAUUCUUUCGGGAUGAAGAGUGAUUUGACUGAGCGGCGGACGGGUGAGUAACGCGUGGGUAACCUGCCUCAUACAGGGGGAUAACAGUUAGAAAUGACUGCUAAUACCGCAUAAGACCACGGUGUCGCAUGACACAGUGGUAAAAACUCCGGUGGUAUGAGAUGGACCCGCGUCUGAUUAGCUAGUUGGUAAGGUAACGGCUUACCAAGGCGACGAUCAGUAGCCGACCUGAGAGGGUGACCGGCCACAUUGGGACUGAGACACGGCCCAA
This 346-nucleotide ribosomal RNA is filed under the name uncultured bacterium. Its description in RNAcentral is "bacterial SSU rRNA". It matches the Rfam family "Bacterial small subunit ribosomal RNA", at positions 8 to 334 of the family's 1533-position model. The record is from RNAcentral.